Molecule: long non-coding RNA, 759 nt
Filed under: Rattus norvegicus (Norway rat)
Lineage: Eukaryota; Metazoa; Chordata; Mammalia; Rodentia; Muridae
Description: long non-coding RNA NONRATT007590
Source: RNAcentral
UCAAACUGCAGUGUGUGCAUAAAAGCUAAUCCUGGAGCUGGUGAGGAGGCAGGGCCUGGGCAGAUCAUUGCCUCUGACUCCUCUGUCUGUCUGUCUGUCUGUCUGUCUGUCUGUCUCACACACACUGUGUUUCUUCUGUCAACUAUGGAACAGAUGUUGUGUAAAUAUGAUCUGUGGUUUAAUUGUCAGAUUCCCAGAAUUGAUAUCACUUUGACAUGUGGGGCUUAUUCUGAUAAUACAGACAUUUUUUUCCCGUUGGCUGAACCUGGGCUGUGGAUCUUCCAUGUUCCAUCAGAAGCAGAGAGAUUGAGUUGGGCUUUAACCGGUCUCUACCUGUUUUGGUGUCUGUCAGUCCGCUGCAGUCAGAGGAGACUCUUCUCUGGCCUCCCUGCAGGUCAAUGGGUGUUCUCUCUUGGUCUUGCUUGUUGAUUGUUACGUAGGUCAGGUGCCACCACUAGGUGGGAGGCCCUAGCUGCUUAACACUAGGGGCAAAGUGAGAUUUAAAAAAAUGUUUGUAAUAAUGAAAACCAAAUAACCUUUAAAGAUCAGGCCUGCAUGUGAGAAUGGCCUUUGGGAAUGGCAAGAUUUAUGGCGAACGGUUCUAUGGCUCUGUGAGCUUUCCAGCCAGUGUGAUAUUUCAGAUGGUGUUCAUUUUGUAACUGUGUCUCCAUUCUCCUGUGGCCUCCAUUCUCUAUCUUUCUGGACUUGGUCCUGAGACUAUGAAAUGUUUUGCAGAGAAAAAUAUAGUAAAAAAAAAAA